Molecule: ribosomal RNA, 448 nt
Filed under: uncultured bacterium
Lineage: Bacteria
Description: partial 16S ribosomal RNA
Rfam family: Bacterial small subunit ribosomal RNA
Source: RNAcentral
AACGAACGCUGGCGGCAUGCCUAACACAUGCAAGUCGAACGAGAUCUUCGGAUCUAGUGGCGCACGGGUGCGUAACGCGUGGGAAUCUGCCCUUGGGUUCGGAAUAACAGUGAGAAAUUACUGCUAAUACCGGAUGAUGUCUUCGGACCAAAGAUUUAUUGCCAAGGGAUGAGCCCGCGUAGGAUUAGCUAGUUGGUGGGGUAAUGGCCUACCAAGGCGACGAUCCUUAGCUGGUCUGAGAGGAUGAUCAGCCACACUGGGACUGAGACACGGCCAGACUCCUACGGGAGGCAGCAGUGGGGAAUAUUGGACAAUGGGCGAAAGCCUGAUCCAGCAAUGCCGCGUGAGUGAUGAAGGCCUUAGGGUUGUAAAGCUCUUUUACCAGGGAUGAUAAUGACAGUACCUGGAGAAUAAGCUCCGGCUAACUCCGUGCCAGCCGCCGCCGUAA